RNAcentral lists this ribosomal RNA (477 nucleotides) under uncultured organism. RNAcentral's name for it is "partial 16S ribosomal RNA". It matches the Rfam family "Bacterial small subunit ribosomal RNA", at positions 332 to 800 of the family's 1533-position model. The record is from RNAcentral.
UACACUCCUACGGGAGGCAGCAGUGGGGAAUUUUGGACAAUGGGCGAAAGCCUGAUCCAGCCAUGCCGCGUGCAGGAUGAAGGCCUUCGGGUUGUAAACUGCUUUUGUACGGAACGAAACGGCCUUUUCUAAUAAAGAGGGCUAAUGACGGUACCGUAAGAAUAAGCACCGGCUAACUACGUGCCAGCAGCCGCGGUAAUACGUAGGGUGCAAGCGUUAAUCGGAAUUACUGGGCGUAAAGCGUGCGCCGGCGGUUAUGUAAGACAGUUGUGAAAUCCCCGGGCUCAACCUGGGAACUGCAUCUGUGACUGCAUAGCUAGAGUACGGUAGAGGGGGAUGGAAUUCCGCGUGUAGCAGUGAAAUGCGUAGAUAUGCGGAGGAACACCGAUGGCGAAGGCAAUCCCCUGGACCUGUACUGACGCUCAUGCACGAAAGCGUGGGGAGCAAACAGGAUUAGAAACCCCGGUAGUCCCAUGA